Molecule: long non-coding RNA, 861 nt
Filed under: Strigops habroptila (Kakapo)
Lineage: Eukaryota; Metazoa; Chordata; Aves; Psittaciformes; Psittacidae
Description: lncRNA (ENSSHBG00005015305.1)
Source: RNAcentral
CUGUCUCACGGCUGCGGGCCCGGCCGGGUUUUCGUACUUCCUAGUUUCUCCGGUUGACUAAAGUUGCCCCGUCGCUCUCUGCCCCCUCCUCUGGAGGCGGAGGAAGAGGGGUGGGCGAGGAAGCCGCGGCGCACCGGCGGCUGAGAAAUUAGGUUAAAAAAAUAUCACAUCAAUUUGUGAUUAUUUCAUUGCUCAACACUGAAGUCAAUGUAUGGGAAUUCUUGAGAAAGAGUGCCGUGUAGAGUAUGUGGCUUGACUCGACCAUGGCAAAGGGUAAGAGGAAAGAGAAUUUUCCGUGUAUAAAACUGGAGAUAUUUGCUUUGGAAAGGCAGGACUCUGGCCCUAACACCAGCUCUUCCCUGAACUCUACCCUGGCCACUACUCCCGCUCCCGUCCCCUCCGGUGGUGGCUUUGCGCGUCGUGGAGCCCAGUUGGGCCCCCAGCUCGGGUUGCUGUCAGAAGGCCCCUCACGGCAGCGCUCCCCGACGGGGAAGGGUUCGUGGGGUGUCUGGAGGAACAGCGUGUGCGUGGAACGGGAGCGCACGACCCCAGCCCUGCGGAACACGAAUGGCUAUGCAGAGGGGACCCGGCGAUCCUCACAGGAGGCUGCUCCCUCACCUGCGUGCCCGUCUGCGUGGGGACCCGCCGCUCUAAGCGGCGGGGAUGGGCGGAGAGCGCCCAGCUCCGAGGUCACGGUGGGGGUGAGUAGCUGGGCUGAAAUGUCUUGGAUGAAGUGGCAUUCUACAGCGAUCUCCAUGUAGUUCUGGGUAUAACUCGUAGAGAUAGAAUUUCUACUGCACACUUUUAUCCCUCGUAGUUUUUUUAAUUUAUUAUUUCAAAUUAAAAGCCAACGGAAAAUCA